AGCUCCAAUAGCGUAUAUUUAAGUUGUUGCAGUUAAAAAGCUCGUAGUUGGAUUUCGGGGCGGCCCGAUCGGUCCGCCGUUCGGUGUGCACUGGUCGGGGCGUCCUUGCUGCCGGACACGGGCUCCUGGGCUUCACUGUCUGGGACUCGGGGUCGGCGAGGUUACUUUGAGUAAAUUAGAGUGUUCAAAGCAGGCCUACGCUCUGAAUACAUUAGCAUGGAAUAACACGAUAGGACUCUGGCCUAUCUGGUUGGUCUGUGGGACCGGAGUAAUGAUUAAGAGGGACAGUCGGGGGCAUUCGUAUUUCAUUGUCAGAGGUGAAAUUCUUGGAUUUAUGAAAGACGAACUACUGCGAAAGCAUUUGCCAAGGAUGUUUUCA
RNAcentral lists this ribosomal RNA (379 nucleotides) under uncultured eukaryote. Its description in RNAcentral is "SSU rRNA". It matches the Rfam family "Eukaryotic small subunit ribosomal RNA", at positions 587 to 972 of the family's 1831-position model. The record is from RNAcentral.